Molecule: long non-coding RNA, 348 nt
Organism: Labrus mixtus (cuckoo wrasse)
Lineage: Eukaryota; Metazoa; Chordata; Actinopteri; Labriformes; Labridae
Exons: 3
Source: RefSeq, a predicted model, not a curated record
GUGUGUGUGUUGAUGUGUGUGUGUGUUGAUGUGUGUGUGUGUGUGUGUGUGUGUGUGUGUGUGUGUGUGUUCUCAGGUGUCCCUCUAUUCCAUUUCAAAGUGGGGGUCUUGAGGAGGGUCUUGAGGGGGGUCUUGAGGGGGGUCUUGAGGGGGGUCUUGAGGAGGGUCUUGAGGGGGAUCUUGAGGGGGGUCUUGAGGAGGGUCUUGAGGAGGGGUCUUGAGGAGCUUCAGGAAUGUCUUUGAACUGAAGGAAACCAUGAAGUGAAGUGGGUACAGGGAGCUGCUGGACCACGUCGGUCGUCAUCAGAACGUCUGGCCCCAACACAGACCUCACCUUCAGCCGACACA